GGUCUUAUAGUUAAAUUAAUUAUAAUAUAAAAUUGCAAAUUUUAAGAUGAAAGAAAUUCUAAGGCUU
This 67-nucleotide transfer RNA is filed under the name Matsumuraeses phaseoli. Its description in RNAcentral is "tRNA-Cys". It matches the Rfam family "tRNA". From Rfam's summary of the family: Transfer RNA (tRNA) molecules are approximately 80 nucleotides in length. Lineage: Eukaryota; Metazoa; Arthropoda; Insecta; Lepidoptera; Tortricidae. The record is from RNAcentral.